Trifolium pratense (red clover) is the source of this 1071-nucleotide long non-coding RNA. RefSeq lists it as uncharacterized. The transcript is spliced from 2 exons. The record is from RefSeq and is a predicted model, not a curated record. Lineage: Eukaryota; Viridiplantae; Streptophyta; Magnoliopsida; Fabales; Fabaceae.
UAGAAAAUACUAGUACUGUUCUACAGUUGAGUGGCAGAAAAAAAAGAUGAGAGAGAAUGCAUGACUUAAAGUGGAAACAAAGAAAUCCCACCUUUCAUUCCACUAUCUUCUUUCUUUUAUCUCUAUAUAGCUUGGAUUGUGUGUGAGUGUGGUAAUAGUCUCUUUCAGUUUCAGGGGUUGAUUGAUUUGUUAUAAGGAAUUGUAGAAACAAGGUGUGAGAAUUCCUCCUUUGGUAAAAGGGAUAUUGGUAAGAAAAUCUCCAAAUGUUUGAUCUCAAUUAUUUUAAUUUUUUAUUUGGUAGUUUUAGGGUUAGGGUUCUUUGGUUUGAAUGCUCCUUCAUUGCAAUUAUCUAUGAAUAUUGUCUCAUUUUGAUUUUGUGUAGAUCUGAAGAAAUCUUACAAUUAUAAUAAUUAAUGUUUAUUUUGGAUUAAUUAUUAUUAGGAACAGAUGAAGAGAGUUUCCUUCAGUCCACUCAUGGAAGGGUAAGGGGUUUGAAUUACCUGCUGACUCAUUCAUUCAAACACAAUAGAUAAUUAAUUAGGUAAUGCUAUUGUGAAUGUGUGAAUGAUGCAGGAGGUAAAAUUUCUUCCUUUUCUUGUCUUUGCUUGGACUGAAGGGAGCUCCCUUUUUCUCUUUUUAAUAUUUUUAUAUCUUACUCCUUAAUUUUCCUUCUUAGUUAUCACAAUUUUAUUGAAAUAUAUAGUUAACAUGUUUCCAUUUCGGUGAAUUCUCAAUUUCAUCUAGGCAUUUGUUCUUAUAUAUAUAAUUUAAGGUGAAUGGAUGGUGCCUCAGGACAAGACUAGGAAGACCAUAGGGUUUUUAGAGUUCUUAAGGUUUGACAAUGAUUUGUGGCAAUAUUUACCUGCCUCCAAAAGUACUGGCGGAGCUCGAAUGCAAGACCUCCUGGAUCCAAGAUCUGUCUGUUGUGUGUAAUGUUACAUAGAGAGAACAUUAAUCAAUGAGGCUGGUUCCCUGCAAAUCUUGUGUAUAUAUAUGUAAGGUUAGACAAUGAUUCUUGUGGCAAUAUUUUUAUGGUUCUAAAUCUAAUCAUGGUUUUAGACAUUGCAAAAA